This is a long non-coding RNA of Juglans microcarpa x Juglans regia, 105 nucleotides long. RefSeq lists it as uncharacterized. The transcript is spliced from 3 exons. NCBI's taxonomy places the organism in Eukaryota, Viridiplantae, Streptophyta, Magnoliopsida, Fagales, Juglandaceae. The record is from RefSeq and is a predicted model, not a curated record.
CUAGCUACCUCUGAAGCUACACAAGUACACUCUCAUUUUGUAAUACAUUUACAUGCUGAUUUCUAAAAUAACGCGACAAAAAUUUUUUAUGAAAAUAACACGUGA